RNAcentral lists this ribosomal RNA (467 nucleotides) under uncultured bacterium. RNAcentral's name for it is "partial 16S ribosomal RNA". It matches the Rfam family "Bacterial small subunit ribosomal RNA", at positions 35 to 507 of the family's 1533-position model. The record is from RNAcentral.
GGGGGGGGGGGGGGGGGGGGGGGAGGCGGGGGGGGCGGGCGGGAGGGCCCAAGCUUGGUUGGGGGGGCGGGUGGCGGACGGGGGAGUGACACGGGGGGGGUCUGCCCUGGCCGUCGGGAUAAGCCUGGGGAACUGGGGCGAAUACUGGGGAGGGCCACUUCUUGGGUGUUGUGGUGGAAAGUUUUUUCGGUGUGGGAUUAGCUCGCGGCCUAUCAGCUUGUUGGUGGGGUAAUGGCCUACCAAGGCGUCGACGGGUAGCCGGCCUGAGAGGGUGUACGGCCACAUUGGGACUGAGAUACGGCCCAGACUCCUACGGGAGGCAGCAGUGGGGAAUAUUGCACAAUGGGCGCAAGCCUGAUGCAGCGACGCCGCGUGGGGGAUGACGGCCUUCGGGUUGUAAACUCCUUUCGCUAGGGACGAAGCGUUUUGUGUCGGUACCUGGAGAAGAAGCACCGGCUAACUACGUG